This 103-nucleotide microRNA precursor is filed under the name Prunus persica (peach). RNAcentral describes it as "miR395n stem-loop (ppe-MIR395n)". Its record names the gene ppe-MIR395n. It matches the Rfam family "mir-395 microRNA precursor family". From Rfam's summary of the family: mir-395 was identified in both Arabidopsis thaliana and Oryza sativa computationally and was later experimentally verified. mir-395 is thought to target mRNAs coding for ATP sulphurylases. The mature sequence is excised from the 3' arm of the hairpin. The record is from miRBase by way of RNAcentral. Lineage: Eukaryota; Viridiplantae; Streptophyta; Magnoliopsida; Rosales; Rosaceae.
UCAGGUGUCACCUAGAGUUCUCUUGACCACUUCAUUGGGAAAUAGUCUUCUUUCGACUAUACAUUCUACUGAAGUGUUUGGGGGAACUCUAGGUGGCAUUUGA